AAAGAAACAGGAUAUAAAAACCUGACGUGUCUGUGGCAAGAUCCUGGCCACCUAACUUAUUAACGCAGCGUCCAUUGUGAGAUGCCGCAGUUCCGUGCAGUCAGAAGAUGGCUCCAGCGCCUUAAUUUUGCUCCUGUUUCUAGCACGAGAUUUAAGGGGCAAGAUGCACUUCAGUGCUAUUUUUCCUUUCCGAUUUUGCCGUCGUCUCAUUUGGUUCAAAACAUCAAACUGCAGCAUAUAUGGAGUUGUAAAGGGUCCAUUAAUAUAGAUGGAAUCAAAGAAGUGAAAGGCCAGCCUACCAAUAGUUAAACUUCUAGUCACCAGCUAAUGCAGAUGGAAAGGGAAAUACAGGGCCACAGAAGGAGAUUGAAAAGCACCGGCCUAAGCAACUUUGGAAAAUGGACACACCCAUAUUCACACCACCACAACCGAAGAAUAGAAUGUUCCUAUCACCCGGAAAAGUUCCUUCAUUCUCUUUUGCAGCCAAUCACCCUCAUUCAACCCCUGGCUCCCAGCAACCACUGAUCUAAUUUGAGUCACCAUAGAUUAUUUUGCUUAUUUUGGAAUUUCAUCUCAGGGAACCAUACUGUAUGCAUUCUUUCAUGUCUGGCUUCUUUUGAUUAGCUUAGUUUGUUUUUUUGUUUGUUUGUUUAGACUCAUCCAAGAGUAGUGGCUAAUCUUAUAUUUUAUUUUUAUCACUGAGUAAUAUCUCCUUAUAUGAAUAUAUUAAUAAGUCAACAUUUAAUAAUGCAUUCACUUUUUG
This 763-nucleotide long non-coding RNA is filed under the name Pan paniscus (pygmy chimpanzee). RNAcentral's name for it is "lncRNA (ENSPPAG00000044197.1)". The record is from RNAcentral. Lineage: Eukaryota; Metazoa; Chordata; Mammalia; Primates; Hominidae.